AGAGUUUGAUCCUGGCUCAGGAUGAACGCUGGCGGCGUGCUUAACACAUGCAAGUCGAACGGGAUCCCAGGAGCUUGCUCCUGGGUGAGAGUGGCGAACGGGUGAGUAAUGCGUGACCGACCUGCCCCAUACACCGGAAUAGCUCCUGGAAACGGGUGGUAAUGCCGGAUGCUCCAGUUGGAUGCAUGUCCUUCUGGGAAAGAUUCUAUCGGUAUGGGAUGGGGUCGCGUCCUAUCAGCUUGAUGGCGGGGUAACGGCCCACCAUGGCUUCGACGGGUAGCCGGCCUGAGAGGGCGACCGGCCACAUUGGGACUGAGAUACGGCCCAGACUCCUACGGGAGGCAGCAGUGGGGAAUAUUGCACAAUGGGCGCAAGCCUGAUGCAGCGACGCCGCGUGCGGGAUGACGGCCUUCGGGUUGUAAACCGCUUUUGACUGGGAGCAAGCCUUCGGGGUGAGUGUACCUUUCGAAUAAGCACCGGCUAACUACCGUGCCAGCAGCCGCGGU
Molecule: ribosomal RNA, 506 nt
Filed under: Bifidobacterium sp. CB8
Lineage: Bacteria; Bacillati; Actinomycetota; Actinomycetes; Bifidobacteriales; Bifidobacteriaceae
Description: bacterial SSU rRNA
Rfam family: Bacterial small subunit ribosomal RNA
Source: RNAcentral